RNAcentral lists this ribosomal RNA (393 nucleotides) under uncultured bacterium. RNAcentral's name for it is "bacterial SSU rRNA". It matches the Rfam family "Bacterial small subunit ribosomal RNA", at positions 521 to 916 of the family's 1533-position model. The record is from RNAcentral.
UAAUACGGAGGAUCCAAGCGUUAUCCGGAUUUAUUGGGUUUAAAGGGUGCGUAGGCGGCCUAUUAAGUCAGGGGUGAAAGACGGUGGCUCAACCAUCGCAGUGCCCUUGAUACUGAUGGGCUUGAUUACACUUGAGGUAGGCGGAAUGUGACAAGUAGCGGUGAAAUGCAUAGAUAUGUCACAGAACACCAAUUGCGAAGGCAGCUUACUAAGGUGUCAAUGACGCUGAGGCACGAAAGCGUGGGGAUCAAACAGGAUUAGAUACCCUGGUAGUCCACGCCCUAAACGAUGAAUACUCGAUGUUAGCGAUAUACAGUUAGCGUCAAAGCGAAAGCGUUAAGUAUUCCACCUGGGGAGUACGCCCGCAAGGGUGAAACUUAAAGGAAUUGACGG